Molecule: ribosomal RNA, 851 nt
Filed under: uncultured bacterium
Lineage: Bacteria
Description: bacterial SSU rRNA
Rfam family: Bacterial small subunit ribosomal RNA
Source: RNAcentral
AGAAUCAACGCUGGCGGCGUGCCUAACACAUGCAAGUCGAACGGUCAAUCGCAAGAAAGAUAGUGGCAAACGGGUGAGUAAUACGUAAGUGACCUGUCCUAAAGUGGGGAAUAAUCCGUCGAAAGGUGGACUAAUACCGCAUGUUAUGAUGAGGGUGAUGCUUCAUCAAGAAAGCCGUAAGGCGCUUUUGGAGGGGCUUGCGUCCGAUUAGCUAGUUGGUAGGGUAACGGCCACCAGGGCGAGGAUCGGUAGCUGGUCUGAGAGGACGAUCAGCCACACUGGGACUGAGACACGGCCCAGACUCCUACGGGAGGCAGCAGCAAGGAAUAGUAGGCAAUGGGCGAAAGCCUGACCUCGCGACGCCGCGUGAAGGAUGAAGGCCUUCGGGUCGUAAACUUCUUUUCUCGGGGAUGAAUAAUGACAGUACUCGGGGAAUAAGUCACGGCUAACUACGUGCCAGCAGCCGCGGUAAGACGUAGGUGGCUAGCGUUAUCCGGAUUUACUGGGCGUAAAGAGUGCGCAGGCGGCCUUUCAAGUCAGAUGUAAAAUCUCCCGGCUCAACUGGGAGGGACCAUCUGAUACUGUUGGGCUAGAGUACAGCAGAGGGAAGUGGAAUUCCCGGUGUAGUGGUGGAAUGCGUAGAUAUCGGGAGGAACACCAGUGGCGAAAGCGGCUUUCUGGGCUGUUACUGACGCUGUUGCACGAAAGCGUGGGGAGCAAACAGGAUUAGAUACCCCUGGUAGUCCACGCUGUAAACAAUGGACACUGGGUACAGGGAGUAUCGACCCUCUCUGUGCCGAAGCUAACGCGUUAAGUGUCCCGUCUGGGGGACUACGGCCCGCAAGGUUAAA